RNAcentral lists this ribosomal RNA (497 nucleotides) under uncultured bacterium. RNAcentral describes it as "partial 16S ribosomal RNA". It matches the Rfam family "Bacterial small subunit ribosomal RNA", at positions 28 to 507 of the family's 1533-position model. The record is from RNAcentral.
GAUGAACGCUGGCGGCGUGCCUAAUACAUGCAAGUCGAGCGAACGGACGAGAAGCUUGCUUCUCUGAUGUUAGCGGCGGACGGGUGAGUAACACGUGGAUAACCUACCUAUAAGACUGGGAUAACUUCGGGAAACCGGAGCUAAUACCGGAUAAUAUUUUGAACCGCAUGGUUCAAAAGUGAAAGACGGUCUUGCUGUCACUUAUAGAUGGAUCCGCGCUGCAUUAGCUAGUUGGUAAGGUAACGGCUUACCAAGGCAACGAUGCAUAGCCGACCUGAGAGGGUGAUAGGCCACACUGGAAGGGAGACACGGUCCAGACUCCUACGGGAGGCAGCAGUAGGGAAUCUUCCGCAAUGGGCGAAAGCCUGACGGAGCAACGCCGCGUGAGUGAUGACAGUCUUCGGAUCGUAAAACUCUGUUAUUAGGGAAGAACAUAUGUGUAAGUAACUGUGCACAUCUUGACGGUACCUAAUAAGAAAGCCACGGCUAACUACGUG